Molecule: non-coding RNA, 776 nt
Organism: Drosophila ananassae
Lineage: Eukaryota; Metazoa; Arthropoda; Insecta; Diptera; Drosophilidae
Source: Rfam
CAACCUCAACUCAUAUGGGACUACCCCCUGAAUUUAAGCAUAUUAAUUAGGGGAGGAAAAGAAACUAACAAGGAUUUUCUUAGUAGCGGCGAGCGAAAAGAAAUCAGUUCAGCACUAAGUCACUUUGUCUAUAUGGCAAAUGUGAGAUGCAGUGUAUGGAGCGUCAAUAUUCUAGUAUGAGAAAUUAACGAUUUAAGUCCUUCUUAAAUGAGGCCAUUUACCCAUAGAGGGUGCCAGGCCCGUAUAACGUUAAUGAUUACUAGAUGAUGUUUCCAAAGAGUCGUGUUGCUUGAUAGUGCAGCACUAAGUGGGUGGUAAACUCCAUCUAAAACUAAAUAUAACCAUGAGACCGAUAGUAAACAAGUACCGUGAGGGAAAGUUGAAAAGAACUCUGAAUAGAGAGUUAAAUAGUACGUGAAACUGCUUAGAGGUUAAGCCCGAUGAACCUGAAUAUCCGUUAUGGAAAAUUCAUCAUUAAAGUUAUAAUAUUUAAACAAUAUUAUACAAAUAAUGUGCAUUUUUUCCAUAUAAGGACAUUGUAAUCUAUUAACAUAUUAAAUUUAUCAUAAAAUAUGGCUUAUAGUUUAUUCAAAUUAUUAUGCUUGCAUUUUAACAUAGAAUAAAUGUCAUUAAUUUGAUAAAGUGUUGAUAGACUAAUAAGAAUACAGUGCGUUAAUUUUUCGGAAUUAUAUAAUGGCAUAAUUAUCAUUGAUUUUUGUGUUUAUUAUAAGCACUUGUAUGAUUAACAAUGCGAAAGAUUCAGGAUACCUUCGGGA